CCUACGGGGGGCAGCAGUAGGGAAUCUUCCACAAUGGACGAAAGCCUGAUGGAGCAACGCCGCGUGAGGGAAGAAGGGUUUCGGCUCGUUAAGCUCUGUUGGUAGUGAAGAAAGGUAGAGGUAGUAACUGGCCUUUAUUUGACGUUAAUUACUUAGAAAGGCAAGGCUAACUACGUGCCAGCAGCCGCGGUAAUACGUAGGUGGGAAGCGUUGGCCGGAUUUAUUGGGCGUAAAGCGAGUGCAGGCGGUUAGAUAAGUCAGAUGGGAAAGCCUUCGGCUCAACCGGAGAAUUGCAUCAGAAACUGGUGAACUUGAGUGCAGAAGAGGAGGGUGGAACUCCAGGUGUAGCGGUGGAAUGCGUAGAUAUAAGGAAGAACACCGGUGGCGAAGGCGGCUCUCUGGUCUGCAACUGACGCUGAGGCUCGAAAGCAUGGGUAGCGAACAGGAUUAGAUUCCCUUGUAGUC
RNAcentral lists this ribosomal RNA (465 nucleotides) under uncultured bacterium. RNAcentral describes it as "partial 16S ribosomal RNA". It matches the Rfam family "Bacterial small subunit ribosomal RNA", at positions 338 to 795 of the family's 1533-position model. The record is from RNAcentral.